GACGAACGCUGGCGGCGUGCUUAACACAUGCAAGUCGAACGGGGAAGCGCCUUCCUUUUUGGUGGGUGUGGAUGAGUGGCGAACGGGUGAGUAACACGUGAGUAACCUGCCCCCUUCUUCUGGAUAACCGCAUGAAAGUGUGGCUAAUACGGGAUAUUCUGGGUCUGUCGCAUGAUGGGUCUGGGAAAGAUAUUGUUUCGGUGGGGGAUGGGCUCGCGGCCUAUCAGCUUGUUGGUGGGGUGAUGGCCUACCAAGGCGGUGACGGGUAGCCGGCCUGAGAGGGUGGACGGUCACACUGGGACUGAGACACGGCCCAGACUCCUACGGGAGGCAGCAGUGGGGAAUAUUGCACAAUGGGCGCAAGCCUGAUGCAGCGACGCCGCGUGAGGGAUGGAGGCCUUCGGGUUGUGAACCUCUUUCGCCAGUGAAGCAGGCCUGCCUCGUUUGUGGGUGGGUUGACGGUAGCUGGAUAAGAAGCGCCGGCUAACUACGUG
This 494-nucleotide ribosomal RNA is filed under the name uncultured bacterium. Its description in RNAcentral is "partial 16S ribosomal RNA". It matches the Rfam family "Bacterial small subunit ribosomal RNA", at positions 28 to 507 of the family's 1533-position model. The record is from RNAcentral.